CACGUAGGGGGCAAGCGUUGUCCGGAUUUAUUGGGCGUAAAGGGCUCGUAGGCUGUUCAGUAAGUCAGGUGUGAAAACCCAAGGCUCAACCUUGGGACGCCACUUGAUACUGCUGUGACUAGAGUCCGGUAGAGGAGAUUGGAAUUCCUGGUGUAGCGGUGAAAUGCGCAGAUAUCAGGAGGAACACCAACGGCGAAGGCAGAUCUCUGGGCCGGUACUGACGCUGAGGAGCGAAAGCAUGGGGAGCGAA
RNAcentral lists this ribosomal RNA (250 nucleotides) under uncultured bacterium. Its description in RNAcentral is "partial 16S ribosomal RNA". It matches the Rfam family "Bacterial small subunit ribosomal RNA", at positions 524 to 772 of the family's 1533-position model. The record is from RNAcentral.